RNAcentral lists this long non-coding RNA (5193 nucleotides) under Ornithorhynchus anatinus (platypus). RNAcentral describes it as "lncRNA (ENSOANG00000039419.1)". The record is from RNAcentral. Lineage: Eukaryota; Metazoa; Chordata; Mammalia; Monotremata; Ornithorhynchidae.
UGGGAGCUUAAAGGAAGAAGCCUUCCUCCAGCUUCCCUCACUCCUUCCAGCAGGUGGAGAGUGUGGUGGUGGGUGCAGCAGUGGUGUCCCUGUAGGGGCAGCGUCAUGGCCCAGAAUGUCACCUACGCAGAACUCAACCUGGAGCAGAAAGCUCAACCACAUCAGACCAACAGCAGCAAGGAAGCAGGCGCCAUCUAUGCAGAACUGAAGAACACAGCCCCACUCUCACAGUCUUCACAGAUCUCCUCUGACCAUGGAAACCUUUAUCAGGAACUGAAUAUCGAUGAUGGAGGCAGGUCCCACACCAAGCCAGGCUGGCGAUAUGGGGCCUGGGCCUGGAUCCUGGCCGGGUUCGUCGGGAUCUUGUUAGUGUCAGUGACCGUGACCUUGAUUGUGAAAUCUCUCCCGAACUCCCAGACCCAGACAGCUGCCAUCAACUCCAACUUCACCAAUCUGACUAACCUGACCUUCAGGACCCCCCAAACCACCCAGCCCUCCUGGACCACCCAGACCUCAGACUGCACCCCAAGAGCCAUGUCCUUGAACUGCAAUGCAGAAGGCUGGGAGGCCUUUGGGGGAAGCUGCUACCUCAUCUGUGAGACCUCACAAAACUGUGGUGGCAAACAACCCAAGUGCAAAGAAUGUUCAGACUGUGACCAGGAGAAACAUGGCACCUGGAACUGCAGCCGACGGGAAUGUUCCCGCGACGGGGCUGACCUUGUGAUCAUCAACAGCAGACAGGAGCUGGAGUUUCUCCACAGCAGAUUAAGACCAUCGGGAUGUUUUUACUACAUCGGUCUCAACAAAAUCCAAGACCAGUGGCGAUGGAUCAAUGGCGAGCCUCUGAUAGAGAGCAAGGUGCCGCUGGAAAAUAUCAAUAAAACAGAUACUAGAGACCAUCACUGUGCUACGAUUCGCCAUGGUAACGUGUCAACAGCAUCGUGUAAUGAUACUGAUAGACAUAACUGGAUCUGCGAGAAGGGAGCUGGUGGUCGGAGCUGCCCGACGUCACGGACUCAAGCCAGGGGAGCUUGAGCUUGAAGAGCGGGGAUGGAACCAGACAACAGGGCCAGCGGGUCGUUAUUCAUUCAUUCAUCCAAUUAUUUAUUGAGCAAUUAUUGUGGGAGGGGCACUGUACGAAGCACUUGGAAAGUACAGUUUGUCAACAAAUAGAGACAAUCCCUACCCAACAACGGGCUCACAGUCUAGAAGGGGCGAGACAGACAACAAAACAAACAAGUAAUCAGGCAUCAAUACCAUCAAAAUGGAUAAAUAGAAUUAUGGAUAUAUACACAUCAAUAAUAAAAUAAAUAGAAUAAUAAAUAUGUACAUACAUAUACACGUUCUGUGGAGCAGGGAAGAGGGUAGAGCAGAGGGAGGGAGUAGGGGCGAUGGGGAGGGGAAGAGGAGCACAGGAAAAAGGGGGCUCUGUCUGGGAAGGCCUCCUGGAGGAGGUGAGCUUUCAGUAGGGCUUUGAAGGGGGGAAGUGAGCUAGUUUGGCGGAUGAGAGGAGGGAGGGCAUCCCAGGCCAGAGGUAGGAUUUGGGCCAGGAGUCGAAAUCGGGACAGGUGAUGGGGGAGGGUGUGUGUGUGUGUGUGUGUUGGUUAGGAUUGUACAGGGUCUUUUUCUUGCAAGAGUACACAACUCUGGCAGAAAUUAGUUAAAGGCAAGGCCUGGGGUAGGAGUAGGGGAAGGGGCAGCAGUGGGGACAGUGAUGGGGUCAGGGCAGAUGGCUGCAUCCUGGAGAUGGACUGAAGCCUCUCCCCCUGCCCUGGGCCAACUCACAGCCAAUGACCUCCACUGUUCCUCCCCCUGGUCAGCCCACACCUGUCAUCUUUGAGGACAGUGGGUCUGACCUGCCCAGGACGCGGACUGACCAGCCCUUUUGAGGACAGACACCUGGUCCUCACUACAGGGCCCGAGUGUCCCCAGCAGCUCCCAGGAUUGCCCAGAAAGAUGCUCCUGGGGCUCCUCAAUGGUGCCUGGAGGCUGCCCGGACUGCUGCCACCACCCUCUCACUCUUGGCUCUGGCACUCAACUCAAGUUGUAAGUGUUCCGGGAGCGGCUGGUGUUCCUGCCCCUACCACUGGUUCUCAGACUGGAUGAGGUUAUCUGGGUCUGGGUCUCCCUGGUUUUCUGUGUGCAUCUGGGUCUGUGUUUCUGUGUAUGUGUGUGUGUGUGUGUGUGUGUGUGUGAAUCUGUUUGUACUUGUUUCUGUAUUUAUGUGUGUGCCUUUGCCUGUGUGUACACCUGUUUCUGUUUUCAUAUGUUCCUGUGCUUGUGUCCAUGUGUGUCUGCGUGUGUCUGUUUCUGUGUAUUUCCAUGUGUGUCUGUGUCUGUGUCCUUGUAUAUGUAUGUGUGUCUGAGUCUGUGUCCUUGUGCUUGUGUGUGUCUGUGUUCGUGUGUGUCUGUGUCUGUGCCUGUGUGCAUCCGUGUCUAUGUAUGUUUGUGUUCACUCCCCAGAACCAGGGAGACUCCAGCUCAGCGGUCUCCAGUCACAGUCAGCUUUCACAGUCCUGCUUCCUGUGAACAACUGCAUUUGUACAUAAGAGGCUCAGUCCAGAUCAGGAAAUAAACCCCUCCCUCUGACCCAAAUGAAGGAGUCCCCACCCCCUGAGACCCUGCUGAUGUCCCUGUGCAACUUGCCUGCCCACACUGCUCACAGUCCUGUGAGCCCUGCCUGAGCUCUGGGUUCUGGAUUCUCAUCCCCUGGGCCAGGUCCGCCUCCCUGCUCUAUUGCUCCACCUCCCCCCUGUAUUGCUCCACCUCCCUGCCCUAUAGCUCUGCCUCCCUACCAUUAAGCUCCACCUCGCUGACCCAACACUCUGCAGGGAUUGGCCAGGCUCAGGCCGGUGUCACCCAUUGGUGAUUGACACCCCAUGGCCCAGCUCCCUGGGAGGCUGCUGAGCUUGGGGGUGAGUGGCCUCCUCACCCCAGAACUUCCCUAAUGGAGUCAAGCCCAAUAGUCAUCAGGAGAGGGAGACAGGGCCCUUGGGUUAUGGCCCCCAGAUGGGGCAGGGAGAGCAGAAGACUGGGGCAGGGAGGGAGUGACCAGCCCCCAGGCCAGCAGCGCAGGCUCCUGGGGAAGGGACUCACUUCAGUGACUUCAUUGUUGAGGAGGGAUUGUCUCUAUCUGUUGCCAAAUUAUACAUUCCAAGCGCUUAGUACAGUGCUUUGCACACAGUAAGCGCUCAAUAAAUACAACUGAAUGAAUAAGUACGAUUUAAUGAAUGAGUAAAUACAAUUGAAUGAAUGAAUGAAUGAAUAUAGGCAAAGAAAUCUGGACACAAACCCUGUCCCCCAUAGGGCUCACAGUAUAUUCAUUCUCAUUUAACGGAUGUGGUAAAUGAGGCAAAGAGAAAUGAAGCAACUUGCCCAAGGUCAAGCAGCAGAUAAGUAAUAAUAAUGAUGAUGAUGAUGAUGGUAUUUGUUAAGUGUUUACUAUAUGCCAAGCACUGUUCUAAGCCCCGAAGAAGAUAUAAGGUAAUCAGGUUGUCCCACGUAGGGCUCACAUUCUCAAUCAUUUUACAGAUGAGGCCCAGAAAAGUGAAGUGACUUGCCCAGAGUCACACAGGUGACGAGUGGCAGAGCCAGGAUUAGAACCCACGACCUCUGACUCCCAAGCCCAUGCUCUUUCCACUAAGCCACCCUGUGGAGUUGUGAUUAAAGCUUAGGUCCUUCUGACUCCCAGGCCUGUGCUCUAUUCAUUCGUUUAUUCAAUUGUAUUUAUUGAGCACUUAUUGUGUGCUCUGUACUGUACUGUACUAAGCACUCUACCAAGUGCUUGGAAAGUACAAUUUGGCAACAGAUAGAGACAAUCCCUAUUCAACAACGGGCUCAAAAUCUAGAAGGGGGAGACCGACAACAGAUCAAACCAAAACAAAACAAGUAGACAGGCAUCAAUACCAUCAAAAUAAAUAGAAUCACAGAUAUAUAUACAAGGCAUGUACAUAUAUAUAUGCAUAUAUAUACUCUAUCCACUAAGCCAUGCUGCUUCUCUAUUCGAAUUGUGGAUGAGUGCCCAGCUGGCAGUCCCCGACAGGGGCUCUGAGUGCUCCCACCAGUAAUGUGGCCCCGCACCUCCCCUUCCCGUCCUCUCUCACCUGCAUAGCAUCCCAAGGGCCUGUACCAUCACCAUUACAGACUAAUCCAUGGUGUGCCGGGACCACCAUGCUGAAAUGCAACAGUCCACAUCCCUGUCAGUUUCAGGGUCUGCUUCCACUGUUAGACCAGCUCCGGUGGCCCAGAAGAACUACUCUUUCUCUCUCUCCCUCUCACACACACACUCUCUCUCUCUCUCACACACACACACACACACAUAUGUCCCAUGGCCCAGCUUCACUGUCAGACAGAUUCCAGCAGCCCCUGAGAGGAACCUCCUUCACAAACACAUUCUUCUGGGACUGGUCAUGCCCCGAUGGCUCCUUGGUGCCUAAAAUACACCCUUUCUUCUCCAUCCAAAUUGCUACCACGUUAAUAGAAUCACUCAUCCUAUCCCACCUGGAUUACUGCAUCAGCCUCCUUGCUGACCUCCCAGCCUUCUGUCCCUCUCCACUCCAGUCUGUACUUCACUCUGCUGCCUGCAUCAUUUUUCUAUAAAAACGUUCAGGACAUAUCACCCCACUCCUCAAAAUACUCCAGUGGUUGCCCAGCCACCUCCGCAUCAAACAAAAACUUCUCACCAUUGUCUUUAAAACAUUCCACCACCUGGUUCCCUCCUACCUCAUUUCGCUUCUCUCCUUCUACAAGCCAGCCCGCACACUUCACUCCUCUAGUGCUAACCUUCCCACUGUGCCCCCAUCUCUCCUGUCUCACAACUGACCCUUAGGCAAUGUCCUGUCUCUGGUCUGGAACACUCUCCCUCCUCAAAUCUGCUUGGCAAUUACUCUCCCCCUCUUCAAAGUCUUAUUGAAGGCACAUCUCCUCUAAGAGGCCUUCCCAGACUAAACCCUCCAUCUCCUCUUCUCCCACUCCCUUAUGGGUCACCCUGAGAUGCUCCCAUAUUCUUCCCCUCUCCCAGCACUUCUGUACAUAUCUGGAUUUUUUUAUUUGCAUUGAUGUCUGUCUCACCCCCUCUAGACUGUAAGCUUGUGGCAGGGAAUGUGUCUGUUUAUUGUUGUAUUGUACUUUCCCAAGCACUUAGAACAGUACUCUGCACACAUUAAGUGUUUAAUAAAUAUGAUUGAAUUCCAU